UGUGUGGGGUUUAGGCCCAGGGGUAUUAUUGGUGUUUAUGCACUGGUGAUUACCCUGAGCAGUAUUGUUUUAAAAUGGAUUGAACGAGAGAGUUUGAUCCUGGCUCAGAUUGAACGCUGGCGGCAUGCCUAACACAUGCAAGUCGAACGGUAGCAGGCCUUCGGGUGCUGACGAGUGGCGGACGGGUGAGUAAUGCGUAGGAAUCUGUCUUUUAGUGGGGGACAACCCAGGGAAACUUGGGCUAAUACCGCAUGAGCCCUGAGGGGGAAAGCGGGGGAUCUUCGGACCUCGCGCUAAGAGAAGAGCCUACGUCUGAUUAGCUAGUUGGUAGGGUAAAGGCCUACCAAGGCGACGAUCAGUAGCUGGUCUGAGAGGACGACCAGCCACACUGGGACUGAGACACGGCCCAGACUCCUACGGGAGGCAGCAGUGGGGAAUUUUUCG
RNAcentral lists this ribosomal RNA (444 nucleotides) under uncultured bacterium. Its description in RNAcentral is "bacterial SSU rRNA". The stretch from base 82 to 444 matches the Rfam family "Bacterial small subunit ribosomal RNA", at positions 1 to 368 of the family's 1533-position model. The record is from RNAcentral.